RNAcentral lists this non-coding RNA (30 nucleotides) under Homo sapiens (human). Lineage: Eukaryota; Metazoa; Chordata; Mammalia; Primates; Hominidae. The record is from RNAcentral.
UCCUAGUCUUGCAUUGGAACCACUUCUAGA